RNAcentral lists this ribosomal RNA (165 nucleotides) under Triticum aestivum (bread wheat). Its description in RNAcentral is "partial small subunit ribosomal RNA". The record is from RNAcentral. Lineage: Eukaryota; Viridiplantae; Streptophyta; Magnoliopsida; Poales; Poaceae.
AUGGCAGGCCUCACGGCAUGGAUGAUUUGGCGCCAUCGCAACUCGGUCAUCUUCGACAAGAUCUCUCCUGAUACAUCAAUGGUCGUUGAUGCUAUUAAGGAGGAGGCUCACUUCUGGGCUAGCGCCGGAGCCAAAGGGCUGAAGGAUUUUAUCCGUGUAACAUGA